ACCUGGCUGGUUCAGUCGGUAGAGCAAGUGACUUUUGAUCUCAGGGUUGUGAGUUCAAGCCCACGUUGGGUG
This 72-nucleotide transfer RNA is filed under the name Mustela putorius furo (domestic ferret). It matches the Rfam family "tRNA". From Rfam's summary of the family: Transfer RNA (tRNA) molecules are approximately 80 nucleotides in length. Their secondary structure includes four short double-helical elements and three loops (D, anti-codon, and T loops). The record is from Rfam by way of RNAcentral. Lineage: Eukaryota; Metazoa; Chordata; Mammalia; Carnivora; Mustelidae.